This 492-nucleotide ribosomal RNA is filed under the name uncultured bacterium. Its description in RNAcentral is "partial 16S ribosomal RNA". It matches the Rfam family "Bacterial small subunit ribosomal RNA", at positions 29 to 507 of the family's 1533-position model. The record is from RNAcentral.
AGUGAACGCUGGCGGUAGGCCUAACACAUGCCAGUCGAACGGCAGCACAGUAAGAGCUUGCUCUUACGGGUGGCGAGUGGCGGACGGGUGAGGAAUACAUCGGAAUCUACUUUUUCGUGGGGGAUAACGUAGGGAAACUUACGCUAAUACCGCAUACGACCUACGGGUGAAAGCAGGGGAUCUUCGGACCUUGCGCGAUUGAAUGAGCCGAUGUCGGAUUAGCUAGUUGGCGGGGUAAAGGCCCACCAAGGCGACGAUCCGUAGCUGGUCUGAGAGGAUGAUCAGCCAAAAUGGAAAUGAGACACGGUCCCGACGCCUAAGGGAGGGCGGAGGGGGGAAUAUUUGGACAUUGGCGGAAGCCUGAUCCAGCCAUACCGGGGUGGUGAAGAAGGCCUUUGGGUUGGAAAGCCCUUUUUUUGGGAAAGAAAAGCAGCAGGUUAAUACCCCGCUGUUCUGACGGUACCCAAAGAAUAAGCACCGGCUAACUUCGUG